GGCCGCGUGGCCUAAUGGCUAAGGCGUCAGAUUUCGGCUCUGAAGAUUGCAAGUUCGACUCUUGUCGCGGUCG
RNAcentral lists this transfer RNA (73 nucleotides) under Cytospora mali. Its description in RNAcentral is "tRNA-Arg (TCG) (tRNA-Arg-TCG-1-1, tRNA-Arg-TCG-1-2)". It matches the Rfam family "tRNA". Rfam says of the family: Transfer RNA (tRNA) molecules are approximately 80 nucleotides in length. Their secondary structure includes four short double-helical elements and three loops (D, anti-codon, and T loops). Lineage: Eukaryota; Fungi; Ascomycota; Sordariomycetes; Diaporthales; Cytosporaceae. The record is from RNAcentral.